AACUCAUAGUGAGGGCACCAUCUUAAUAGAUCCUUGUAUCCCUCCCAUGCAUCAUAGAGUGUUUCUAGAUCCAUCUGUACAAAAGAAGAGAUAUCAUUCCUCAACUU
Gossypium hirsutum (cotton) is the source of this 107-nucleotide non-coding RNA. NCBI's taxonomy places the organism in Eukaryota, Viridiplantae, Streptophyta, Magnoliopsida, Malvales, Malvaceae. The record is from Rfam.